AUCCAUAAAGCCCCGCGCGGUGCCCGGGCACCGCGUUUGACAUAACGCGACUUUUCCCUAUAGCCCCGCGCGGUGCCCGGGCACCGCGCCUGUCCACUCGACUUUAACACUUGAAAUCACUGUUUACAAACUACUUUUGUAUAAAGAAGUUGAGUGACAUGUGUCGUUAGUGACAUUUUCUAUGUCGUGAACCAAAAACGAAACGUAAUCUACGCGCCAUUAUUUAAAAUUUGAUCAAGACAUUUGUCAUUUUCGCGGGCCGUUGCGCAGUGUGGUGCAGUGUUGUUUUUUGCGGAUUUCACAAAUUUGUCUGAGAAUGUCAGCUUGGCGUCCAAGUGACGAGGCUCCUCAAGACUUCAUCGCCCUUCUCCAUAACAGCAAAGACGAAUUAUUGUUUUUUGUACACAUCUGAACAACUUAAUUAUAAAUUGUCAAUAAAAAUGC
This is a long non-coding RNA of Trichoplusia ni (cabbage looper), 444 nucleotides long. RefSeq lists it as uncharacterized. The transcript is spliced from 2 exons. The record is from RefSeq and is a predicted model, not a curated record. NCBI's taxonomy places the organism in Eukaryota, Metazoa, Arthropoda, Insecta, Lepidoptera, Noctuidae.